UGAGGAAUAUUGGUCAAUGGGCGAGAGCCUGAACCAGCCAAGUAGCGUGCAGGACGACGGCCCUAUGGGUUGUAAACUGCUUUUAUAAGGGAAUAAAGUGAGCCUCGUGAGGCUUUUUGCAUGUACCUUAUGAAUAAGGACCGGCUAAUUCCGUGCCAGCAGCCGCGGUAAUACGGAAGGUCCGGGCGUUAUCCGGAUUUAUUGGGUUUAAAGGGAGCGUAGGCCGGAGAUUAAGCGUGUUGUGAAAUGUAGGCGCUCAACGUCUGCACUGCAGCGCGAACUGGUUUCCUUGAGUACGCACAAAGUGGGCGGAAUUCGUGGUGUAGCGGUGAAAUGCUUAGAUAUCACGAAGAACUCCGAUUGCGAAGGCAGCUCACUGGAGCGCAACUGACGCUGAAGCUCGAAAGUGCGGGUAUCGAACAGGAUUAGAUACCCUGGUAGUCCGCACGGUAAACGAUGGAUGCCCGCUGUUGGUCUGAACAGGUCAGCGGCCAAGCGAAAGCAUUAAGCAUCCCACCUGGGGAGUACGCCGGCAACGGUGAAACUCAAAGGAAUUGACGGGGGCCCGCACAAGCGGAGGAACAUGUGGUUUAAUUCGAUGAUACGCGAGGAACCUUACCCGGGCUUGAAUUGCAGAGGAAGGAUUUGGAGACAAUGACGCCCUUCGGGGUCUCUGUGAAGGUGCUGCAUGGUUGUCGUCAGCUCGUGCCGUGAGGUGUCGGCUUAAGUGCCAUAACGAGCGCAACCCCUCUCCUUAGUUGCCAUCAGGUCAAGCUGGGCACUCUGGGGACACUGCCACCGUAAGGUGUGAGGAAGGUGGGGAUGACGUCAAAUCAGCACGGCCCUUACGUCCGGGGCUACACACGUGUUACAAUGGCAGGUACAGAGAGACGGUCCCUUGCAAAAUGGAUCAAAUCCUUAAAGCCUGUCUCAGUUCGGACUGGGGUCUGCAACCCGACCCCACGAAGCUGGAUUCGCUAGUAAUCGCGCAUCAGCCAUGGCGCGGUGAAUACGUUCCC
Molecule: ribosomal RNA, 1019 nt
Filed under: uncultured bacterium
Lineage: Bacteria
Description: bacterial SSU rRNA
Rfam family: Bacterial small subunit ribosomal RNA
Source: RNAcentral